UACGGAGGGGGCUAGCGUUGUUCGGAAUUAUUGGGCGUAAAGGGCGCGUAGGCGGCGGAGUAAGUCAGACGUGAAAUCCCUCGGCUCAACCGAGGAACUGCGUCUGAAACUGCUCUGCUUGAGGCCGGGAGAGGAGAGUGGAAUUCCCAGUGUAGCGGUGAAAUGCGUAGAUAUUGGGAGGAACACCGGUGGCGAAGGCGGCUCUCUGGACCGGUUCUGACGCUGAGGCGCGAAAGCUAGGGGAGCAAACAGG
Molecule: ribosomal RNA, 253 nt
Filed under: uncultured bacterium
Lineage: Bacteria
Description: partial 16S ribosomal RNA
Rfam family: Bacterial small subunit ribosomal RNA
Source: RNAcentral